GCCUAGGGCCACACCAUCCUGGAAGCGCCCGAUCUCGUCUGCUCUCGGAAGCUAAGCAGGAUCGGGCCCGGUGAGUACUUGGAUGGGAGACCUGAGCACGGAAUUCGGUGGAUCUACAUU
Fukomys damarensis (Damara mole-rat) is the source of this 120-nucleotide ribosomal RNA. The record is from Ensembl. NCBI's taxonomy places the organism in Eukaryota, Metazoa, Chordata, Mammalia, Rodentia, Bathyergidae.